ACUCUAUGAAGUGACGUUGGCGGUUGUAGGAUCAUGUGAGAGCUUUCGACGUUCUGUAUGGGAAAUGUUUUGACGUUUAUUUCUGUUUAAAGUUGGUGUGCUUGUUUGGCUACAGGCUGAGAGAUUGUCCUGUUCACCAUGACACAAUAAUGUCCAGGCUGGAGUUUCUGAUUGCAAAACUGAGAGAGAGAAGAAUGCAGCAGCCCUCAGGACUGAAAUAUGUUAAGUGGAGGAGCAGGAGCAAUGAACUCUCUUAAUUUGUUGUUUUUACUGCUGAAGAAGGUUUUUUUUUCCGUUUUGUUUUCUGUAGAAUUUGGCUGCCGUUGAAGACAAUUACAGCUGUGAUCUUUUUGGUGCACAACUCACAUUAUUCACAUCUGAGUGUCUAGUGGCACAGUGUUUUAAUGGACUUUAAUCAUGUUGCAGUUGUAUCUGUGUGCUACCUAUUUAAUAACAUUUUUGAUGAAGGUCAUUUUGUGGUCAGAUUACUUUGCAUAAUCGUGGCACCAUUGUUUCGUGGAUUUUAUUUAUCUCUAACCCAAUGUUUAACACAAAGCAAUCUGUUACAGAUCUUACUGGGAGUGGAAGUAUUGUAAAAUGCAUUUAGGAAUUAGUAGUCCGAUGUUUUGUCAGACAUUAAAAUGUAGAUUUUUCCCCCUAACAAAUGUAGUGUGAACAAAUAAAUCUAUCAAACCGA
This is a long non-coding RNA of Ictalurus punctatus (channel catfish), 697 nucleotides long. RefSeq lists it as uncharacterized. Lineage: Eukaryota; Metazoa; Chordata; Actinopteri; Siluriformes; Ictaluridae. The transcript has 2 exons. The record is from RefSeq and is a predicted model, not a curated record.